UGUAAGCGUAUACCAAAGUUGUUGCAGUUAAAACGCUCGUAGUCGGACUUUGGCAGUUCCGGAUGUGUGCACGUCGUGUGCGCACUUCGCGGGGAUUGCUUUUGUGGUCUUGCGUAGGAUGAGGCACUUUUAUUAGUGAACGUCCUAACGCAACCACUUUUUACUGUGAGAAAAUCAGAGUGCUCAAAGCAGGCAUUUGCCGUGAAUGUAUUAGCAUGGAAUAAUAGAAUAGGACUUGGUUCUAUUUUGUUGGUUUGUUGGGACUGAGUAAUGAUUAAGAGGGACAGUUGGGGGCAUUUGUAUUUCGGUGCUAGAGGUGAAAUUCUUAGAUUACCGAAAGACAAACUGCUGCGAAAGCGUCUGCCAAGGAUGUUUUCAUUGA
This 382-nucleotide ribosomal RNA is filed under the name uncultured eukaryote. RNAcentral describes it as "partial 18S ribosomal RNA". It matches the Rfam family "Eukaryotic small subunit ribosomal RNA", at positions 592 to 976 of the family's 1831-position model. The record is from RNAcentral.